This 465-nucleotide ribosomal RNA is filed under the name Vreelandella stevensii. RNAcentral's name for it is "partial 16S ribosomal RNA". It matches the Rfam family "Bacterial small subunit ribosomal RNA", at positions 338 to 795 of the family's 1533-position model. The record is from RNAcentral. Lineage: Bacteria; Pseudomonadati; Pseudomonadota; Gammaproteobacteria; Oceanospirillales; Halomonadaceae.
CCUACGGGUGGCAGCAGUGGGGAAUAUUGGACAAUGGGGGCAACCCUGAUCCAGCCAUGCCGCGUGUGUGAAGAAGGCCCUCGGGUUGUAAAGCACUUUCAGUGAGGAAGAACGCCUGGUGGUUAAUACCCAUCAGGAAAGACAUCACUCACAGAAGAAGCACCGGCUAACUCCGUGCCAGCAGCCGCGGUAAUACGGAGGGUGCGAGCGUUAAUCGGAAUUACCGGGCGUAAAGCGCGCGUAGGUGGCUUGAUAAGCCGGUUGUGAAAGCCCCGGGCUCAACCUGGGAACGGCAUCCGGAACUGUCAAGCUAGAGUGCAGGAGAGGAAGGUAGAAUUCCCGGUGUAGCGGUGAAAUGCGUAGAGAUCGGGAGGAAUACCAGUGGCGAAGGCGGCCUUCUGGACUGACACUGACACUGAGGUGCGAAAGCGUGGGUAGCAAACAGGAUUAGAUACCCGAGUAGUC